UACGUAGGCGGAAAAUUAAGUCAGUGGUGAAAUCCUGCAGCUUAACUGUAGAACUGUCAUUGAUACUGGUUUUCUUGAAUACAGUUGAGGUAGGCGGAAUGUGUAAUGUAGCGGUGAAAUGCUUAGAUAUUACACAGAACACCGAUUGCGAAGGCAGCUUACUAAACUAUGAUUGACGCUGAGGCACGAAAGCGUGGGGAGCGAACAGGAUUAGAUACCCUGGUAGUCC
Molecule: ribosomal RNA, 229 nt
Filed under: uncultured bacterium
Lineage: Bacteria
Description: partial 16S ribosomal RNA
Rfam family: Bacterial small subunit ribosomal RNA
Source: RNAcentral